Long non-coding RNA from Saccostrea echinata, 699 nucleotides. RefSeq lists it as uncharacterized. NCBI's taxonomy places the organism in Eukaryota, Metazoa, Mollusca, Bivalvia, Ostreida, Ostreidae. The record is from RefSeq and is a predicted model, not a curated record. The transcript is spliced from 4 exons.
GGCUGCGCCCUUGGAAAAGGAAUGAUCAUGAUGACAGUUACACAGCAAAGAACGAAAACAUGAAAAAAUAUCCCUCAGAUACAAUCUUCAUCAAUCGAAUAAUUCAAAAAUUUAAAGUCACAAGUAAUAAACUAGGAGAUAAGAAAUACUGGAUCAUUUCCUUUCUGGCAGGGGCUGCGUUAGAGUUUUGCAUGGUGAAACUGGAUGUAAACGGUCAUAGUUAUUAUAAAACUUACACAAGAAGAGAGGCAUUGAAAGAAGCUCAGAAACGAUUCAUAGAAGAACUAGAGCGUAAAGAAGUGGAUGAAUUACUAAAAAGUACCCCCAAAGAGGCCCUGGAUUCAGUGACAAUUUGAGAUAUGGGGAUGCUUGCUGAAUAUUUUACAAAGUACAGAUUUACAGUAAUUGCCAAAUCCUUCUUCUGGAUGUUUGUAGGAAAUCAGUGUGUUCAUAUGUACUACCAACCUCUGAAACACUUUGAGGAAGAGGUUCAAAAACAGCUAGAGAUAUUAAGACAGCAGGCCCAGGAAGAAGAAAAAACAAGUGCCCUCUCUGAGCAGACAUCUUGAUUGUGUGGUGGUGGUGGUAUUGCUAACCAACCACCUUAGAUACAGACUAUCUGAUUAUAUUUAUAUUUAAUGUAUUGUGUGAAACCGAGUUUUGUGACCUAUUUGAAAUAAAUGGAGCACAUGUGUUUAA